This 5074-nucleotide long non-coding RNA is filed under the name Ananas comosus (pineapple). RNAcentral's name for it is "long non-coding RNA (ACOM_LNC005154)". The record is from RNAcentral. Lineage: Eukaryota; Viridiplantae; Streptophyta; Magnoliopsida; Poales; Bromeliaceae.
CCUACAAAGAUAUCAAAUAAUAAAUAUAUACUAUAAAAUUUAAGUUAUCAAAUUUAUUCUUCCAAAGUCCUCUCAUCUAUAAAUAUAUUCGUUUAUUACCAAAAUUUAGAUAAUUAUGAGUUAAAAAAGCUAACCAUAGUUAGUUAAAAAAUAAAAUGACCUUUUAUAUCUUAUACAUAUAUAGAGUUCGGCUACUAUACUCUUAUCAAUACGAUUGUCCUCGUACUCAUAAGUUAUUUUCGAUCAUAGAGCUUCCGAAUAUCCAUACCGUUAAAUAUUAUCUAGAGUAUUUAAAACUUCUAUAAAUUAAAUUUCAUAAUUUUUCGAUAUCAUUUACCUUACGAUCAAAAGGUCACAAAAUUGGCAAUUUUAACGGACGAUAUGAGAUACUUGCUAGUUUAACGGUGUAAAAAAAUUGGAAUAGGUUAAAUUUUUGAUAGAAAAUUUUAUUCACUACCUAGAUAAAGAUCAAUAACUCCGAUCUUAAAUUGAAAGAUCCGAUCAUCUAUUUUUAGGACGUCGUUUGAUUUUAACCGUUCAUUUAAUUCACACUUGAUGGACUUAAUUAUAAUUUCGAAAAAUUAUGAAAUUUAUUUUCUAAAAGUUUUAAAUAAUUUAGAUCAUACUUAAUGGAGUGGAUCGUCGAUUCGAAAGCUCCAUUAUCAAAAAUAACUUAUUAGUACGAAUGAUUCUAUAUUUAAAAUUUUACUUAUUAGUACGAAUAAUUCUAUAUUUAAAAUUUUAAAUGCUCUAGAUAAUGUUUUAUGGUAUGGAUCGUCGAAUCGGAAGCUCUAUAAUCCAAAUCGAAAACGACUUAUGAGUAUGAGGGCGAUCGUACUCAUAAGAGUAUAGUAGUCGGACUAUCUCUCUCUCUCUCUCUCUCUCUCUCUCUCUCUCUCUCUCUCUCUCUCUAUAUAUAUAUAUAUAUAUAUAUAUAUACUAGUUGAGUGUACGUGCAAAUGGACGUAACAAUUAUUUUAAUUUAUUUGAAAUCACAACCGUUCGUAAGAUUGAAUUUAUAGAUGAAUAGUUCAAAUUUGAUAUCAAAAAUUAAAUUUAGUUCACAAUUUAAAUUUAAAAUUUUAAUUUUAAUUUAUAAUAAAUUUAAUUCCCUAUUUAAAUUAAAAUUAUCUAAAAUUAAUUUAGAAUAGAUGGAUAGGAAUUUUAUUUUUUAACAGAUUGAUCAUAACCGUUAAUUUUUAAUUGAUAUAACCUUUCGUAGGAUUAGAUUUAUAGAUGAAUUUUUUUUAUAAAUAAUCCUAUCGAUUUUUAUAAUUAUAAAAAUAAUUUUUUUAAAAAAAUAAUUAUAAAAAUGGACCUCUAAAUACGGUGAAUGAUUCACUGCAUUCAUAACUCCUCAUUAGGAGUAAAAAAAGAAUAAAAGCGAUGAACUAUUCACCGCUUUUACCAUCGUAGAAAUCUAUUCUUAUUAUUAUAAGCAAAUAUGAUUGUUGGUUUCGUCUCACCCUUUUUUUGUCGGUACAUGUAUAAUUACCAAAAUAAUCUUCAUAUCACUAUUAAUAGUAGUUAUUCAAUAAUAUUUAUUGUGAAGUCAAAUUUAAGUUGUUUAAUUAAAUUUAUUGAAAUUUAAUAAAUUAUAAAUCAUAUGAGUAACGGAAGAGGAGAAGUGAAAGAGUCUAUCUAUAAAUAAAAAUUUUUUAUAAUGCAUAAUUACCAAAAUAACCUUCACAUCACUCUUAAUAGUAGCUAUUCAAUAAUAUUUAUUGUGAAUUCAAAUUUAAGUUGUUCAAUUAAAUUUAUUUGAAAUUUAAUAAAUUAUAAAUUGUAUAAGUAACGGAAGAGGGAAGUUAAAGAGCCUAUCUAUAAAUGAAAAAUUUUUAGAAUUAUUUACAUCUAAUCUUUUCAUCUUCCAAAACAUAAAUGAGAAAGAAAAAAAAUAAUUAAUCAUUCUUUUAUGAAUAACGGUUCAAAUUUAAGAUGUUCAAUUAAAUUUAUUUGAAAUUUAAUAAAUUAUAAAUUGUAUGAGUAACGGAAGAGGGAAAGUGAAAAGGCCUAUCUAUAAAUGAAAAAUUUUUAGAAUUAUUUACAACUAAUCUUUCAUCUUCCAAAUAAUAAGUGAGAAAGAAAAAAAAUAAUUAAUCAUUCUUUUAUGAAUAACGGAAAAGGAGAAGUGGAAGAGCCUAUCUUCUCAUAUAAAUAAGGAGUUUUUAGAAUUUCUUACAAUUAAUAUUUUCAUCUUUUAAGCAAUAAAGACAUGAACAUUGUAUUGUUAUUGCCUUUUCAUGUUCUAAAGAUAUGUUUUAGACAUUUUUUUUAAUCUAUUGCUUUCUACCACAAAACAAAGUAAUGGGUAAUUAAUUUUUACAAUUUUUUUUCUUAUUUUUAAUAAUUUUGUUCCUUGAAAAAAAAAAGAGAAGAAGUAUCGUUACUACGGAUCGGCAUAUUAACUGGAUUUUAAAAUUGAAGGAGAAAGGGAUUAUAGCAGGAGAAACUGUAAGUUUGAAUCAUAAGUUUUUUCUUUCUCUUUUUUUUAUUGUUUAUAAUUUAUUAUCAUGAAUUAUAAAUUAUUGUAUUAUUAUACUAAAUUAUAUGGUAUUUUGUGGAGGCUUAUAAAAUAUUUGAAAAUUUCUAUUCUUAUGGUGCAAUAUGAUGUUCGAUUGAUUUUUUGCUUUCAAUUUUUAUUGUGUGAAUUUAGUAAAUUAUUUUAUUUUUUACAUUUCUUUUUUUGCAUAUUUAUUUGACAUCUAUAUCUGAAAAUUCUCUUAUAAAAAUAAUAAUAAUGUAUACUGGUAUCUGCUUUUAAAAUCACAGUGCUCUUUGUCUUUAUACCUAUGUGGGUUGUUUAGACGGUUGGUUGUAUGAAAAUAUAAUUAAAAAUAUAUAUACAAUAAUGUAAUAUUGUUGAAUUUAUAACUAUUUAGAGAGAUGGAGUUUCAAUAAUUAUUUUUAUAAUUUGUGAAUGAAUUCACUAUAUAAAACUUUUGUUUCACAUAAAAAAUUAUUUGACCUUAUAUAUAUAUAUAUAUUGAUAUUUACUAGCUUAUUGUUGAUAUCUUUUUUAAGUUGUUUAUUAUUUUAAUUAAAUUUAAAAAUAAUAAAUUAUCAUCUUUUUUUUACCAAUAUGUAUAAUUAAAAAUAGAAAUAGAAAUAAAUGAUUGAUUUGCAAAAAACUGAAAUUGGAUCCUGUGUUAUUGUGCUAUAAACAUUUUCUUAUAGUUUUCUAAGUUAGAUUAGAAUAUUAUUAGAUCUAUUAAGAAUUUAAUAAUAUGAUAUUUCUUUAUAUAAUUUAGUUUUAUAAAAUUCAAUUUAACUUUCUUCUACGAUUUUUAAUUCUUAAUUUUUAUUUUAUUUUAUUUAAAAAAUAUUUGUAACGCAUAGUUAACUUGAUAUUAGAUUAAUCGAGGCCAUAGAAACAGGCUACUGCCUCAACCUUCACCACAGAGGGAAGGGGACAAGGAUAUAUACACGUCAACUGCAGGCAUAUUUUUUUACCUUUAAAUGUAAAAAUGUAUAGAUAUCCCUUCAACUAUAAGCAAUUAUGAAAUAGCAUCCUCAACUUUUUAUUAUUUUAUUCUUUUAGUAAAAAUGCAUGGGGAGAUCUUACCCCAUUUCUAAAUAGGCCUCUCUAAUGUUUUUAUUUUUUUUUUCUGAGAUUCUCAACUUUUAUAUUUACUUAUAUUAAAAAUUUAUAAAUUUAAUAACUUUAUAUAAUUAUUAAUUAUUAAUUAGUCAAGGGCUUCUAAUAUAAAAACACUAUUUAUUUAGUUGUGAAAAAAAUAUUAUUUAUUUAAUUAUUAUAUAAAUUUAAUAUUAUUUAAUAUAUAUACAUAAAUUUUUAAUUUAAUGUUAAAAUAAUUUAAUAUAUUUUUUAUUUAACCAGAAAAUUAAUACGUGCAGCGCACGUGCAUUAACUAGUAUAGAAAGAAGUAAGAAAAAAAAAGAAAGCGGUGAAUGGUUCACCGCUUUUAAAAACGGUGAAUGAUUCACCGCUUUUAUAGGACCAUAUUUAUAAAUAAAAAUUUAACGGGUCUAUUUUUAGAAUAAAAUUUUAGGAGAAGACUAUUGCACUAAAAAAUCCUUUAUAGAUAGAUAAAAUUAGGCCAAUUUGCAUAAAAAAUUCAUUAGUUUUGAGCUUUUGCAAAAGUAGGUAGCCUUUUGGAUUUCACAGAUUCCGAACGAAUUUUUAGAAAACUGCCCAAAAUACCCUUGUUCCCUUUUCUCUCUUAUCUUUUCUUUCUCUCCCAAGAGGGUGGCGGAGGCGGCCUGCCUUGCCUCUGUCCGGCGUACUACUCACCUUCCCCGUGCACCAUCAGCCUUUCUCGCCUCCGACCCCACCGAGGCCGCACUUUUUUUUUUUUUUUUUUCUCUCCGACCCUCCUCUAUUGCCUCUCCGACACUUUACGAUAGUAAAGAAGGUAACGCCACAUCAUAUUCCUCUUAUUUUUUUCACUCCUUUUUUUCUCUUCGACCUCCCUCAACCGCCUUCGCGACUCGAAGGCAGCGCCGCGUCCUCUUACUCUGUCUUCGCCGGCGCAGGCACUGACACCGGCGCUAGAGAAGGACUUUGAGUGAAUGCGGGUGAGAGCGGAACCAAAGAAAAAAAAUAUAGAAAAUAAAUAAAAUAAAAUGAAUAAUUAAUAAAAUAUAAAGAAAAAUAUUUUUUUCUAUAGGAAAAAUAAAGAACCAGGGAGAAAAGAAGAAGAUGAUGAAGAUGCACUGUGUCAGAGAAAUGUUGCACUGUUUCAAAAAAAUUAUAAUUUUCUGAAUGAAAGUUGCACUCUUUGGGUAACAAUUAUAUUAUUCCUCCUCAUCCUCACGAAAAUAAAGAAGAAGAAGGAGGAGGAAUGAGAGAAAUAGUAUAAUUUUCGUCCAAUGAGUGUAAAUUUUUUUCAAAUAGAGAAAUUUUUAUUCAGAAGAGUUUAAUUUUUAUCUCAAAUAGUGUAAGUUUUCUUUAAAACAGUGCAACGUUGCUCUAAAAUAAUAUAACUUCAUUAUUUUUUUCUUUUCUAUCAAAUUCUUUAUUUUUCUUAUAACUUCUUUUCACCCUCUCCGACCUUCAUUGUCUCCUACACAGCCUCAGGGCGCUCGGCGACGGUGACGAGGGCGGCGCCAC